AGGAGCCACAGUAAGUCCUCUCACUCCGUCUCAGACUGGAACCAGUCUUCUAGGUUUGUUGUGAUCCAGACCGUUUGAGCUAUUAGGAUCAAACUGACCGAGAAAAGUAAACAUCAUGAUCCUCAUCGUCUGCUUCAUCUGUCACGUUUUGCUUGUUUCAGGUUCUUCUCUAAGUGACCAAGUCCACCAGACUCCUUCUGAAAAGUUCUGCAAAACCGGAGAUAAACCCCAAAUCAGCUGCAGGCAUGAAAUUCAGGACUACACCCGGAUCUUCUGGUACAAACAGUCGACGGACCACCAGAUGCAGCUCCUGGGGUACAUGAACGUCAACGACGGCAAGCCAGAGACAGGAUUCUCUGCCAGGACGUCGCUCAGGACCCAACAAUCAGCUGGAGCUUUAUGUCCAAGUCCGCAGAGAUGAAAUGCAGCCACAAAAAAGAUAUCUCUUAUAACCAGAUGUACUGGUACCGGCAGCGGCCGGGGGAGGCCAUGACUCUCGUCGUGUACACAAUGUUCGGUGGGAAGGCAGACUACGGAGAGAACCUGCAGAGCAAAUACUCGGCAGUCAAAGACACAGCAGAGACCGGAGCUCUGACUGUGAAGGACCUGCAGCCUGAAGACAGCGGCGUUUAUUUCUGUGCCGUCGGCAAAACACAGUGAUGUGAGGAAACACAACAGCUGAACAAAAACCCGACUGCCAAUAAAACAGAGAUCAUCAGAAACCGACGUUGUGCACUGUUGUGACUCUCCAGUAGGUGGCAGUGAGGCUCAAUAAAUGAGCAGCCUGAACUAUACUAAAGACAAUUACCUUUACAAACACAGACUCUCAAU
Non-coding RNA from Poeciliopsis prolifica (blackstripe livebearer), 831 nucleotides. The record is from the annotation of a RefSeq genome assembly. NCBI's taxonomy places the organism in Eukaryota, Metazoa, Chordata, Actinopteri, Cyprinodontiformes, Poeciliidae.